Peromyscus californicus insignis is the source of this 3299-nucleotide long non-coding RNA. RefSeq lists it as uncharacterized. Lineage: Eukaryota; Metazoa; Chordata; Mammalia; Rodentia; Cricetidae. The record is from RefSeq and is a predicted model, not a curated record. The transcript is spliced from 2 exons.
UUUUCCAUAACCUGGCAACAAGCAACAAGCCAAAGAAAUUAUAAGGAAAUGUCGUACCUGCUCCUUUUACAAUCAGACGCCACUACCAGCAGGAUAUAACCCAAAGGGUACUCAGAGGAAUGAAAUAUGGCAGAUGGAUGUGUUUCAUUUUGUAGAAUUUGGAAAAUUGAAAUAUGUUCACCACACCAUUGAUACCUAUUUGGGAUUUCAAUGGGCAACUGUUCUGAGUUUUGAAAAGGUUGAUUCUGUAAUCACGCAUUUGCUAGAAGUUAUGGCCAUCAUGGAUAUACCUGUACAAAUUAAAACUGACAAUGCUCCAGUAUAUGUCUCUGGUAAAAUGAAACAGUUUAUUGCUUAUUACAAUAUAAAGCAUAUUACAGGUAUGCCACCUAAUCCUAUAGGCCAAGCAGUCAUAGAAAGAUCAAAUCAAAUUCUAAAGGAUAUACUAAAUAGACAGAAGGGGGUAACAAAAACCCCCAGAAAUAGAUUAUAUAAUGCUCUAUUAACUUUGAAUUUUCUCAGUGGUAAUGAGAAAGGAACAACAGCUGUGGAGAGACAUUGGAUAAUAGAAAAAACUACAGAAUUAAAUCAGCCUGUAUACUUUAAAGAUGCACUGACUUCAGAAUGGAAACCAGGAUAUGUAUUACAUUGGGGACAAGGUUUUGUUUUUGUUUCAAUGGGAGAAGAAGAGCUAUGGAUACCAACAAAAUUGAUAAAGGUUCAAUUUGAACGAGAGAGACAUCUUAAUUAGAAUAGGUAAUAGUUCAUCAAGCAGCAUGACCAUUAAAUUUAAAUUAACUUAUAUACUAACAAAUGCUUUUUAUUUAAUCAGAUAUAACUUGCCAAAAGGGAGCCUCCCCAAAGCUAGGGUUGGGGAAGAGUUUUUGUUUUUGUCUUUCAGGAGAAUGAAGGCUAAGGAAUCUGAAGAACACUGGACAAAUGAGACAUCUGAAGAAAAAGGACAAAUUAUCCAGAAAAAAUGUCUCAAGAAAAAGAGUAAAUUUGCCUAUUGAUAUAUCACAUAUCUAACAGGAUGAAAUUUCGGAAUCAUGACCAUGCCUAACAGCAAAUCUGAAGUCUCCAGAAAGAUGAUGGGGCCCCACAACAACGAUCCCAUCAGGACAGUGAUAAUACCACUAAGCUGACAAACACCAUCCAAAGUUCGGCUUUGGACUACAAACUGCUCAGGACAAUUUUGAGAUGGGUAGCUGAGAUGAUUCAGCCUCACAGACUACCUGAGCAAGGACUUGAGACAGGUCCUGCAUUUUUACAUUAUACACACACUGGACAACAAAUGAAUACAGCUACCUCUCCCAGAACUUGACAAUUAAACCCAAAAUUUUUCUUUUCAAGAUCCCCUAAAGAUGCCUUUACCCCAAGACAGCAGGAAGUAAUUUUAACAACACAACACCCACAUUCCCAAGAGGUGAGGUGGGUGAUUUUUGGUCAUUCAAUGGGUUAUGGAUAGCUUUCAUUGUUUAGGAUGGUUGGUUACAAGUUGUUAAUUGUUAAUGGUCAGGGAAUUAGAUUCAGUGUUCUUGUUUGAAAAAAAAAGAGGAUAUAGAUAAGAGGUAGAUUAUUGAAUCUACUCUGAAAAAAAGAUAUAGAAAUGAUAGAAUAAAGGGUAAAUUAUUGAAUCUACUCUGAAAAAAGAGAGAAUAUGGAUAUGUUAAGAUAAAAAGGUAGGUUAUUGAAUCUACUUUUAAAAGGCAACUACUAAUUUUACAAUAUUUUACAUUGGAUUGGAUUUUUGUAUAUUGUAUACAAAUUAUGCAUAUUGCUACAAAUUUGAGAUUGAUUUUGUUAGAAAAUACUGUACAUAUAUUUCUAAUCUUGUUCAGGUAUUGUACCUAUACAGUUCAUUUAACAAUGUAAUGCAAUUUUCUAGUCCUUAAAAGUUGUUACCAACUAUUUAGGAUAAUAAAGAAAUGCAGUUAGUAGUCAGUCACUAAAUCAAACUUGUAGUCAUAUUAGGUAUGUUUUCAAGGUGAAAGCGAGAUAUAUUUUAGAUAAGCAGGUCAUCUUCAAACACUUCAGAGAUCUACAGAAUAUGGCAUUUAAGGUGUUUUAAUAACAUAGUUUUUUUUUCUUUUUUUUUUUUUGACAAUGAGACAUGUCUGCUCCUGGCAGCACCAAUCUACUUCAGAGAAGAUGAUGGGCAUUGAAGAAACUCCUUACAGAGUUUACUUUCAUUGCAGCAAAAGUUAGCCACUGGGCAAGAAAGUGCCCUUGCUUCAACUGCAGACAGUAUGCUGUCCAAAAUGGACAAGCAGGACACAAAAGAAAGGACUGCCAAUCCUUGCCAAAGCCAGGUAGGAAGUAUCUUUAGAAAAUCCUGCUUUACAGAUGAGUCUGUCAGAUAUGCUAAGCCUGUAGGCCAAAGAUGGAUGCCCCAAUGUUGCAGAGAAACCUCGGAUGACUGUCCAGGCAGCCAGCUGUUUCUGUCAUUUCCACCUGUUUUGGAAGUCGCUCGUUUGCACUUCCUGUCUGACUAGGUACUAUUAUUUCCUUCUCGGGUCUCUGAGGGAGUUGAAGAUUAGAUGGUUAUAUUUAUAGUUUUCCUUGUUCACAAAUUCAGAGCAGAAACUCACUAAAGAGGUAUAAAGUGUAUAAGUUUGAAAAGACAUCAAAGGAUAGUUUUCAGUUGGUAAUACAAGUUAGGAUGAAAAGUGAAUUAGGUGCAUUUUGAACUCACAAAAUAGGAUAGAUAAUGGAGUAUUUACUCUGAAUUUGUUAAAUGCAAAUGGACUAGACAUUGUCAAUGUACUUAUUGCCUGUAUAUAUUGUAUAUAGUUAUUGUACUUAUUGUAUAUAGUUUUUCUUAUAUUAGUUAUAACUUUUUAAAAAUUUUAGACAAAAAAAAGGAAAUGUGGUGAUAUUUUAUUUGUGCUCUAACAAAUGAAUAAUAAUAAAGCUUGCCUGGGGAUCAGAGGAAAAGCCAGCCAUUAUAUUAAACAUAGAGAUCAGGCAGUGGUAGCACACGCCUUUAAUCCUAGCAUUCAGGAGGCAGAGAGUCAUCCAGAUCUCUGUGAGUUCAAGGCCACACUGGGACCAGAGCCAGGCAUGGUGGCACAUGCUUUUAAUCCCAGUACUAGUUAACCAUAGAAGUCUGGAGGUCUGUACAGACAGACAGGAAGUGAUAUAGCUGGGCAGAGAGAGAAAGUAAGAUGGCAGGGCACAGAAAGGUAUAUAGGCGUGGGUAUACAGGAAGUAACUCUUUUAGGCUGAGGAUUUCCUAGUGGUAAGAACUUGUGGGUCUAGCUUCUUCUAUUCCUCUGAUCUCUCAGCUUUCACCCCAA